AUGGCUCAGAACGAACGCUGGCGGCGCGUUUAAGCAUGCAAGUCGAGCGGCAAGGGCCUUCGGGCCCCUAGAGCGGCGGACGGGUGAGUAACACGUGGACAAUCUGCCCCCCGGCCCGGGAUAGCCCAGGGAAACCUGGAUUAAUACCGGAUGAGGCGGGAUCCGCGAUGGCGGGACCCGGGAAAGGCGCUGCGGCGCCGCCGGGGGAUGAGUCUGCGUCCCAUUAGCUAGACGGCGGGGUAACGGCCCACCGUGGCGACGAUGGGUAGCCGGCCUGAGAGGGUGGACGGCCACAUUGGAACUGAGACACGGUCCAGACUCCUACGGGAGGCAGCAGCUAAGAAUCUUCCGCAAUGGGCGAAAGCCUGACGGAGCGACGCCCGCGUGAACGAAGAAGGCCGUGAGGUUGUAAAGUUCUUUUCGGGAGGGGGAACAACCGUGGCAGGGAAUGGCCGCGGGAUGACGUGAAUCCCGGAAUAAGCCCCGGCUAACUACGUGCCAGCAGCCGC
Molecule: ribosomal RNA, 509 nt
Filed under: uncultured bacterium
Lineage: Bacteria
Description: bacterial SSU rRNA
Rfam family: Bacterial small subunit ribosomal RNA
Source: RNAcentral